UUCUGGGCGAAAGAGAUGGUGAGAUGGCCAUACCCUGGGGUUGUCGGCCCGUGGGCCCCGAGAGCUGCUCUGGGGCAUGGGGGUCUGAAAUGUGGCUGGAGUGCAGCGCAGUUUAGGGGGACUUGGUGGUUGGUGACUUGGGACUGUAGUGUUUGUGACAAUCUGGGGAUGCUGAGCUGCUAUGUGAUCUGUGUGGCUUGGUGGUGGGCUGCAGGAGGAGCUUCUCACCCACCCUGAGCACUGGAACCACAACAUCCAGCCCAGCCCGGCCAUCCCCAGGGCCUGUGUCAGGCUGAGUGACUGAGGGGAGCAAGAGCUGCUCUGCAAAGGGGCCAUGCAACCCUCUUGCCCCAUCCUGUUCCCUCCUGGCAGCACUCUGCACACCUCCCCUGCCCUGGGCAGAGGCAGCAACGCAGCAUUCAGCCAGGAUGCCUUAUGCCAUGCCUCAGCCCGUUCUGCGAUGGCAGCACAGAGUGCCCAUCCCCUGUGCCCAGGCUUGUGGUGCAGUGCUGGCGCUGCCCCAGGCACAGAGCCACUCUGCCAGGAACAGGCAGUGUAGCAGAGGCUGCAGCACAGCUGCCACCAGCCCACUCACUCCCGGGAUAUUUUUAGGGCUGCCUGUGCUGAUAGCUCCUCAUCCGGACCGCAGGGUUCCUUUCCCAGCCCUCCCCGGGGUGCAGCUUCCAGGGGGGCAGUGUGGGUGUUGGGUGAGGAUGCUCGGGGGCUGUGGCCAUGCUGCCUGCCACAGCGCAGCCCGCUUGGCCCUGGGCCUGCUGGCAGCAGCUGCUGGGCAGGAGCUGGCUGGAGCCCAUGGGGAGCGCACGUAGCUGGGAGACAGGAGGGAAAUCUAGCAGGCCUGUAAAUAUUCACUUAUUUAUUUAUAUGCUGCAUAUAUAUUGUAUAUAUCAUAUAUGUGUGUGUGUGUGUGAAAGACACUUGUGGUUUGAAUGCAGUUUCUAAGGCAGAGCUGCCCUUAGGCAAGCAAUAAGUAAGCAAUACAUAACUAAGCGGGCUGUGAACGCAGUAGUGAGUGUGUGCUGAGGUCUUGCUUCUUCCUCCAGACUCUGACAGUUUUGCUGCUUUUAAGAGAUCGUAUUUGUGACUCCCCCAGACUGCACCAGCCCUUGAGCUUGAGGGAGUUUCCCAGCUUGCAGAGAAGGCUGCAGGUAGCAGGGCAGGAAUGAUGCUGUGAGAUAGGCAAUCCCAGAUACAUGUACAGACUGGGAGAAGAACUUAUUGAGAGCAGCCUUGAAGAGAAGGACUUGGGAGUCCUGAUGGGCGAGAAGCUCUUUACUUGGUGAGGCUUUGGCACAGAUUGCUGAGACAAGCUGUGGAUGCCCCAUCCCUGGAGGUGCUCGGGGCUGUUGGAUGGGGCCAUGGACAGCCUUAUCUAGCACCUGAUGUAGUGGCUGGCAACCCUUCCUGUGGCAGCUGUGUUGGAUCUAGAUGAUCUUUGAGAUCCCUUCCAACAGAAGCCACUCUUAUGAUUUAUCCUAUGAUUCAGUUUAUCAGAUAUCAGAGGAGUGGCUGGAGAUGAGAUGGCCUUCAGAUAGCAGAGUGGAGGGAGGAUAUCACUGCCACGUGGCUCCAUCACCACCUUGAGCCUUCUGCACAUGCACAAAGACUCAUUUGUGUCAGUGCUGUUAAUUUUAAAAGUACCAAAACUGCAGGAUGGGAAAUGCAGCAUCUUUGGGCCAAGGAGCUGACGUCCAGUGUAACAGCAGCAGGUGGAUCAAGAGAUGUCGUGCCAGGUUCUAGCAACACGUGUGUGUGAGGGGGUCGGGCAGGCUGUCCUUGGCUGAGCCAUUUCUUGCAGCUGCAGGGACACCAGAGGAGGAGCGUUCCCAUGCAGUGCAUGGGCCCCACGGUCCUUACCCCUGCUACUGAAACCUGUGCAGGUUCCCCCUGCAAGCGAAGAAGAGGUGAGGGCAGGAAUAGCUCCAGCAGUGGUUCUGGGUCAGGAAGGUAAGGGGGCAGUGGGAGCUGGCUGGGGCAUGGGUCUUGGUAGGCAAUGCUCCUUAGUUGCCUUAUUUCCAGGCCUUUUUCAAGGUGAUGGUGGUGCUUCUUAGGCCUUCUGUGCCUGUUCUGAAGGUAAGGAAGCCUGAAUCCAUGCAUCCUUGGCUCAUGUCUGACCUAGCCAUAGUGCUGCAAUGCAAACCAAAGCUGCAGCCAUGUGUGGGAGAGCUCACUUUCUUUCUGGCUUUCUUCCUUCGAUUUUUCCCUCCCCUCCUCCUCUGCUUUCCAGCAGAUCCUCCAUCCUGCAGCACAGUCCGUCCCUGCCAUUCCCCCGCACCUUCCUUUGCAGCCAGGGCUGUGAGCGUGCUGUGGUUGUGAGUGUUCCAACAGCAUUUGGGUCAGCCACAACCGUAAGCCUUCAUCUUGUCAUCUCUAUAAUUGAUUUUAAAAACUAUUAAAUGGCACCCGACCAAGCAAUAGUCGCUGGGGGUCUCCAUAUGUUCCCAGCCGUUGAUGUCUCCCCAUUAAAAUUUGGCGCACGGACAGACCUUGAAGCAUAGCUGUUAAUGCACGUAGUUUAUCUAACCUGAGCCUUAUUAAUUCUUUAUAAUACAUAUUUUUAAUUAAAAUCCUACAUCAUUGUUAACUGGAAAAGCCCGAGUGUGCUGCAUGGAUGCUCCAGUUCUUACGGGCCAGACCUCUCCUUCUGCCCAAGGAGAAGUUUCUCUCUCAGGGUCUGUGUUGUACAGUGCAGCAGCCACGGUGCUGUUAGCUGCAUUUCUCCCUUCCCAGGGUACAAAGCAGUCUGUCGUGUUUCCGCAUGUUGCUCUGCUCUUCAAAAUGCCCUGUCCUCCCUCCAGCUGAGGAUUUGUUCAAAAAUUAACGCAUGUCUUUCAGUGAGAGCCACAACGCUGCUGCUCUUAAGGUGGCUAGAAGGACAGAAAUGCAAAGUGCCGUCCCCAGACUGAGCGUGCUGUUCAGCAAAGGGCAGAGAGCACACUUAAGAAUAAUGCACAACAAUCAUGUGAGGUGAAACAAGUUUGGCGGGAGUGCCAAAGACAAAACACGAGUGUGUUACAGCCCACGUUUUGUCCCCCGACUCUGUGCAUCAGCAGAGGUAAUCCCUGUCUGGCUAUUAGUGGAAAUAGAUUUUUGCUGUGGUAUUUAGAGGUAUUUAAUGAAUAAUAAUAUAUUGCAUUCAGUGGUAUCAAGUCUGAUGUGAUGACAUGCAAUUUGGGGAGGAGGAUUGUGUGGGCACUGAGUGAUAUCCUGCCCAACAGGAGUGCCUCAGAGGAGCUGGUGGUGUUGAUGCAAGGUGGCUGCAGGGUGUAGGGCAUCCACAGUGACCCACUGCUUGGGGCCAUAGCCUGGUCCUGCUGUACUCAGCUUCCUGCUGGUGUGGCCACAUCUGUGUCUUCUCUCUUGAGUCCCUCCUCACUCAUGAGGGUGAUGCUGUGGGACAUGUGGGUGGACGUAGGCUCCAUGCCAGGGCUUAGUGACUCAAUCACGAGUGGGUUUUUGUGGACCAAGAUGUGCCACAGUUCUUGCCCUUUCCUUUGGUCAGUUUUGCUGGAAAAGCUCCAGAGCAUUCCAGAAAGCAGCGUGGCAAUAUGAUAGAAUUUAAUCAGGCUUAAUUAUUCCCCUGCCGUCCAUCGCCUAGCAACGUCCAGCUUGACAUCUGCCUGCGAAUGAAAUGUGUAAGCUAAGUGGGAACACGCUCAGACUAAAGCCCUACUAUUCAAACCAGAUCACUCCACUCAUCAUUGCUGUAAUUCACCUCACGGCUCUUAGGCAGCGGCCGAGUACCUGCUUUCCAUAAAUGUUCAGCACUCUCCUCCCUGGCUUUUUCCUGGCACGGAAGCUGUCUGACGUUGUGCUGGGCUCCUUCCAGUAUGCUGACACCUGAUAGUAUGGUAUAGGGUUUCCAAGUGUCAAACCUGGGCGCCGUGGCAAGCCCCGGCCUUGUCGCUAUCUGCCUCCAUGCAACAGGUCUCUGCUUAUCUGGCUCCUCAUCGAAAUCAGGUCGCCUGCCGUGCUCGCUGAGCAUGCAAGCAGUGAGCUCGCGGUGCUUAAGUCCAAAGUAGAUACAGAGUGGAGAACUUGUUCUACCCCACUGGAAGGCUGCCGAGAUGAGGAGAGGAGCAAGCUAGAAAUGAGUGCUCGUGCCGCCCAAGCCUGCUGGGGUGAAGGCAGCCUCCUGGGCCGGGUGAGCACAACUGGUGUCUGAGCAUCCCAGGGAACCAGGGGCUGGUGUGUGUGGUAAGGGGCUGAUCUGCAACAUGGGGUGCUCGGAUGCGGUUCUGGCCCCUCUCCACCCCUUAGGACAGUUGGUGCCAACACUAUCAGGGUGUUGGCAUGAAUCGGUUCAGCUUCUGCAUUACGCAGUUAGCAACGGAAGAUCCAGCAGGAUGUCAGUGCGACACACGCAUUCCUAGUGGAGGACUGGGGUGGAUCUGUGAGCCCAGCUGCAAGGAUGCAGCUCGUGCAGCAGGCUGGCAUGGCUUCAUUUGUGCUGAACACAAAGCUGAGGUCACAGUUUUGUACGCCAGGGGCCGUGUGAGCACCUCGGCUCCCCAUGGGCUCUGUACGUGCUCUGCCCCUCACCCAGCGGGGAGUGGCUCGGGCAGGGCUCAGCCUCGCUGCCACAAUGUGUGCGUAGCACCUGGGAUUGCAAUGCCACCACCCUGCCAGCGGUCCUAGCCACAGCCCCUUAAAUUCACGCGGCUCUUGACGUUUCUCGUGUUAGCAGUGAAUCAUGGAGGGUGGAAACGGGAAAUCACCGGGUUUAUUUGCUGCCCUGAAAAUACGAGGUCGCGUAGCAGAGCGGCUCUGAUGCGAAGAUGGGACUGCUGGUGUUCAUGCGCAACCUGCUGCUCGCCCUCUGCCUCUUCCUGGUGCUGGGCUUUCUAUACUACUCCGCCUGGAAGCUGCACCUCCUCCGCUGGGAGGACUCCAAUUCAGUGGUUCUUUCCUUUGACUCCGUUGGACAUACGAUAGGCUCAGGAAGGAGAGAGAGAAAAGCUGUGGCCAUUGUGCUUCCGCUGUCCAUCCCAUCUCACCUUGCUGCAGACCCAGGAAAAGACAGAGCCCAGAAAGAACCCAAAGAGACAAUGGCAGCUGCAGACCCAGCCAUUCCCAAGUAUGACAAACUGGGCUUUCUCCUGAACCUGGACUCAAAAUUGCCUCCAGAAUUGGCAUCAAAGUAUGCAAAUUUCUCUGAAGGAGUGUGCAAGCCUGGUUAUGCAUCAGCACUCAUGACUGUCAUCUUCCCAAAGUUCUCGAAGCCGGCACCAAUGUUCUUAGAUGAUUCCUUCAGGAGAUGGGCUCGUAUCAGGGACUUUGUACCCCCCUUUGGAAUUAAAGGACAAGAUAAUUUGAUCAAAGCCAUCCUGUCAGCAACCAAAGAUUACCGUCUAACUCCAGCUCUUGACAGUCUCAGCUGUCGACGAUGUAUUAUUGUGGGAAAUGGUGGAGUACUUGCAAAUAAGUCAUUGGGGUUAAAAAUUGAUGACUAUGAUGUUGUUGUCAGGCUGAACUCGGCUCCGGUGAAGGGGUUUGAAAAAGAUGUGGGUGGCAAAACAACCCUCCGGAUCACAUAUCCUGAAGGUGCAAUCCAGAAAAUGGAGCAGUAUGAGAAGGAUUCCCUCUUUGUUCUGGCGGGAUUCAAAUGGCAGGAUUUCAAGUGGCUGAAGUACAUUGUUUACAAGGAGAAAGUGAGCGCCUCUGACGGCUUUUGGAAGUCAGUGGCGACCCGUGUCCCCAGAGAACCUCAUGAGAUACGUAUCCUGAAUCCCUACUUCAUCCAGGAGGCAGCUUUCAGCUUCAUUGGACUGCCUUUCAACAACGGCCUGAUGGGCAGAGGGAACAUCCCCACCUUGGGAAGCGUAGCAAUAACCAUGGCGCUCCACAACUGUGAUGAGGUGGCGGUCGCUGGGUUUGGCUAUGACAUGAGUUCACCCAAUGCACCGCUGCACUACUAUGAGAACAUCAAGAUGUCUGCCAUCAAAGAGGUCACUGUCUGUUAAUGUAGGAGAAGUUUCAGAUCUGCCGGGAGCAUAAAAAAAGGAAACGUGGACAUGGAGAAGCCACCUGUUUGACAGCGUUUUGGCGGAACGAAGGCCUCAUAUGCCGUUCCUGUGCAUAAGUCCUGGACGCACAACAUCCAACGGGAGAAGGAGUUCCUGCGGAAGCUGGUGAAAGCCCGAGUCAUCACAGACCUGACCAGUGGGAUCUGAGUGGCUGCAGCCCCUGCCUGAAAGGGAGGAGAGGAAGACGCAUGCUGCGGCUCUGGGAGCAGGCACUGGCAGCCCCCCACAAGAAUCCCACUUCCCUGGAGACACACAGAGAUGCCCGGGUGCUCUGGGAAGGCCCUCUCGCAUCGCUGGGCUGCAGGAGGGUUGCAUCUGCUGCCUCCAGUCCUGGAGCUGGCAGGAGGUGGGCGAGGGGCUGAGUGGGCAGUUCUUGAACUCUGCAGACUCACAGAUGGACCUUAUGUGUCCAGAAUUAAACAGGAAAGACUCAGGAGAGAGAAGAAAGAUUUGUGAAUAAAGCGAUUUGUGCCAAAUGGGAGGUGACGCUGCCCUGAGGCAGCAGUGCCUGAAUGUACAAAGUAUUAUUUUUUAAAAGAAACUCUGCUGGAACCAUCCUAGAAUUACCAAGGUGCAAAGCAAAGUCUGCUUGUGCACAGCCCUGCGGAAAGCUCGGCCUCUCCACGCUCAUCUGCAUUGUCACCGCCCUCAGACCUUUCCCCAGGAAAACAAAUCCGUCCAAAAAGUCAGUGUUGUUGGUGCUGCUAUAAUUUAAAGGGAGGUUGGCUUUCCCUCGUUCUCCACUUGGAGCUUCUCAUUGGAGAUGAGCAUGGGUUUGUUUUUCUGCACUUUUCCUCACUUCCUGCGUAGAAGCGGCAGCAGCAGCCACUCACUUGGCUGCGUUUUCCAUGGCUGUUUGCUCUGCCCUGAUGCUGGAACUGAUGGCUCUCUGCCUGCAGCAGACCCGCCGUCCUGCCCGUCAUGGCGCUGCGGAGCCCACCUCGUUGUGCUCAGGGCUGUCAGGUCCGUGCCUGCUGUGCAGAGCCCUCAUGGAGUCCGUGCGGAUCAGCGUCACCAUUUCUGGACAGCAUCCUGCUUUGUUUUUGUGGGGGAGAUCAGUGGUUUGUUUUUCGGAAGGAGGUCAGAUGCUGCGUGGGGAUCUGAAGCUUUGCAGUUGAAGAGCAGGCCACCGAAGAUGUUUUAUGUUCCGGACUCAAUCAUGUUGCCUAUUUAAGUGACUUGUGACCUCAGCAAUGAUGGAGCGUGCUGGCAAGUGUGGAAGCCCGCUGGGAACCCUCACCUUCUGCUCGGCCCCUGCUCACUUUGUGUCCAAGCUCCUCCUGUGCUGCUCGAGCACUGCUGCUCCUCCAGCUCUCAGGAGCAUGUCCCUUCCUUUGCUGUCUUGGUCCCGAGAUGCAGUAUUUGCACAUUUGAUUUGUGUACGUAUUUCAGAGGAGCUGGAAUAAACUGAGUGCAAGGACAGCGGGAUGAUCUCAUCCACCUGGAGAGCGUGGGCAGGAGGGGGACUGCCGGGGAAAAUUGCAGUGCACCCUCUGAGCCACGUCCCUGUGUCGAGGCCAGCGCUGAGGUUGGUGGAGGGUGAUCCCGCAGUGAUGCUGGCUGGAUCGUGGUGCUGUAUCUGGCAUAGUCCAAGGACUGCAGUUUGCCUUGCUCUGAGCUGAGAGGAUAACGUGGCCCUGGCACAGAAUUCUCAGAGAAGGGCUCGCGUGGGCCUCUUUCCCACUGACUUGCCAGGGCUGUGACUCAGGGGAUGCGCAGGAGGGGCAGGCAGUGACCUAGGGAUUGCAGGCUACAGGAGGCAGAGGGAUGGUGGGAGUUUCUCCCUUCCAUUCUCCUUCCAGUUUCCCUUCUCCUGUCCCUCUCCCCUUCCAGCCGGCCGCUCCCUGCUCCCUCCGGUACGUGCUUGCCCCAGGAUGCUCCAUGAGGUUUCCAGCCCAAAAAGAUGGGCUUUCCAGCAGAUUUGGAGCAUCUGCUGUGGCAGAUAACUCAUGUGGGUAUUAUCUCUCCCUUAGCAAUUCAUAUGUGGCAGCCUGGGCCCAGAACCAUCAGCAGCAGAGGCUCUGCCACAACAGCAGUAGGGGUGCCUGUGCUGGACCUGACCCUAAUGCUUGAACUGGGUCUUCAACUGCUGCUGUGGGAGCCCCGGGGCUGGGCCCCAUCCACAUGCUGCAUGAGCCAAGAUGCCAGAGAGCAGGGAGCUGCAGCCAGGAGGAGGGUGAAGAGCUUUUGGUGUCAGUGCUGGGCUCCUCACUACCACCAGAGGAGCUGUGGAGGAAGCUCCCCCAUGGUGACCUGUGAUAGUGUCAGUUUGAUUCAGCUGGUUUUACUGAGCGCUACGAAGCUCUGGGGCACUGUUAUCUUCCAGCUCACUGGCUCCAGGCCCACGGAGGGAGCUCCACUUUCCCUGGCAUCCCAGCUCCCCACCACGGCUGGGGACAGGCCCUGAUGGGAAGCUGUGCCUACUGCCCAGGGGGGUGAUCUCAGGCUUUUCCCUGUACCCCAGUGGGGCACCUGGGAGCUGAGCACAUGGCCCAGGGUCACCUGCAAGUGGAAGGAGAGAAGGUGGAAAUGCUGGGGGACCACAGCUCCUUUGUCUCACUGUCCCGUUGACAUUGGUGGGACAAGCGCAGCCGCGGAACAUCCUCUGGCCAAGCUCUGGGGGUGAUGCUGGCACAUUCCACCCCGCACCCCAGGGCAGCGCACAGCACUGAGUUUCACUCCUGGCAGCUGCUCCUUUGGCUGCCUCCUCGCGUGCACCUGCAGCCACCUCCCGCCCUCCGAAUCGCAGCAGUCCUGCCAGCUCAAAGCGGUGCGCGGGUCAGGGCAGGGUCAGUGGGACGGAUGCGAGUCUCGGCCUCUCCCUUCCCCGUGACUCACCUUUUUCAGCUCAGAAAGGAGAGCCCAGGGGAAUUCUCCGAGGCCUAAAUAUAGAGCGGGGUUGCCUGACGGCUCUGCCACGCUGCAGUGCAGAAAGGCCAUCGGGGUGGCAGGGGACCUGCCAGGGGAGAGGCUGGGGAGGUCAGGGCUGGGGAAACCCCAUGCCAGCUGCGGUGGCUGUGCUGCUGGUUCAGGGACAGGGCCGGGGGCUGUGCCAGGGCUGGAGUGUGAUCCUUUGGUGCAGGCGAUGCAGCCACCUCCCAGCUCUGGGCUCCUCCGCAGCCUGAGGUGACAUGGGGACGAGUGCUGUGAGCUCGCCGGUACUGUGCCACACUGAGGUACAAGAACUCGAUGAGUUUUUAACACUAGUUUUAGUUUCUGCAGGUUUUUUUUUUUUUUUUAAUUUCCCCUCUAGGCAGGGAGGUGGGAGUCUUGCAGGCUCCUCAAGCUGGCUUAUGUCACAUCAAUUCAGUCAUAUCACAGAAGCAAUAAAGCUAUCAAACAAGC
Numida meleagris (helmeted guineafowl) is the source of this 9389-nucleotide RNA transcript. It is a transcript of the gene named ST3 beta-galactoside alpha-2,3-sialyltransferase 3, with no coding region annotated. NCBI's taxonomy places the organism in Eukaryota, Metazoa, Chordata, Aves, Galliformes, Numididae. The record is from RefSeq and is a predicted model, not a curated record. The transcript has 15 exons.